AUAUCUCUCUGUACGGGAAGGAUGAGAAGCUUCGACUAAGGUUCGAUUCGAGCGCAGCGAGAAAGCGUUGCCGCAGGCAACGACCCGAAGGGUGAGGAGCAAUACGGCGAGUCAUCUUUGCCCCAAUCUCCC
This 132-nucleotide small RNA is filed under the name Salmonella enterica subsp. enterica serovar Oranienburg. RNAcentral describes it as "RtT sRNA". It matches the Rfam family "RtT RNA". Rfam says of the family: This family represents a bacterial cis-regulatory element known as RtT RNA. The exact function of RtT is unknown although it is thought that it may be involved in changing the cellular response in relation to amino acid starvation. The record is from RNAcentral. Lineage: Bacteria; Pseudomonadati; Pseudomonadota; Gammaproteobacteria; Enterobacterales; Enterobacteriaceae. RNAcentral also lists the same sequence under 2 other names.